CAUCUACUUCCUUGUUGUCACUUCCCAGAUCACUUUCACUUUAUGCUCUUCUAAAAUUAAAACAAAGAUCAUCGACCACAAAACACAAUUGUUCUUUUGUAGCUCAUGCUAGAAUACCCUCUUUGUUACAUCUCCUUCAUUUUUCUGAUCCAAAAUUUAGUAGCCUACUAUAUCUCACCCACUGUCCUUCUUUCCUCCAGCUAUGGUAGAGAACUGCUCCUCCAACUUUAUGUACAUUUGAAUCACCUGGGAGUUCCUGUGAACUUCGGGUUCUGAUUUAAUAAGGACACCCAAAGAGUCUGCAUUUCCUGUAACUCUCAAAAGAAGCUGUGGAGUACUCUGAAUAGCAAAGCACUCUAAACUUGGAAGAAAAAUUGCCUGCUUGAGGAUGCCAUUUUGUUAUCUUCAGCUCAAUCCUGUACCCACUUCAAUGUUAUUUGCAGGCCCAUUACCCCAACACUGCAUUCACGAAAGUCAUCAGUGACUACACAUUGAGAAAACAAGAAUGACAUUUUCAGUUCUCAACUAAUUUGAAUUU
This 538-nucleotide long non-coding RNA is filed under the name Homo sapiens (human). Its description in RNAcentral is "HSALNT0119296". The record is from RNAcentral. Lineage: Eukaryota; Metazoa; Chordata; Mammalia; Primates; Hominidae.